This 540-nucleotide ribosomal RNA is filed under the name uncultured bacterium. RNAcentral's name for it is "bacterial SSU rRNA". It matches the Rfam family "Bacterial small subunit ribosomal RNA", at positions 856 to 1400 of the family's 1533-position model. The record is from RNAcentral.
CGAAUUAAGUAUUCCACCUGGGAGUACGCCGGCAACGGUGAAACUCAAAGGAAUUGACGGGGCCGCACAAGCGAGGAACAUGUGGUUUAAUUCGAUGAUACGCGAGGAACCUUACCCGGGCUUGAAUUGCAGGUGCAUGGACCAGAGAUGGUCCUUUCCUUCGGGACUCCUGUGAAGGUGCUGCAUGGUUGUCGUCAGCUCGUGCCGUGAGGUGUCGGCUUAAGUGCCAUAACGAGCGCAACCCUUUUCCAGAGUUACCAUCAGGUUAUGCUGGGGACUCUCUGGAUACUGCCAUCGUAAGAUGUGAGGAAGGUGGGGAUGACGUCAAAUCAGCACGGCCCUUACGUCCGGGGCUACACACGUGUUACAAUGGGGGGUACAGAGGGAAGCUACCGGGCGACCGGAUGCGGAUCCCGAAAACCUCUCUCAGUUCGGACUGGAGUCUGCAACCCGACUCCACGAAGCUGGAUUCGCUAGUAAUCGCGCAUCAGCCAUGGCGCGGUGAAUACGUUCCCGGGCCUUGUACAGUCGACGCGGCCG